ACUGAAUAUGACGGGAGCUUAUAAAAUAGGCUGAGAGGGUGGUUGAGUUACCACCGACCGAACCUGAUCUGGAUAAUGCCAGCGGAGGGAUGCAAGUGUAGACAUUA
RNAcentral lists this non-coding RNA (107 nucleotides) under Desulfosporosinus sp. RNAcentral's name for it is "TPP sequence". It matches the Rfam family "TPP riboswitch aptamer (THI element)". Rfam says of the family: Vitamin B(1) in its active form thiamin pyrophosphate (TPP) is an essential coenzyme that is synthesised by coupling of pyrimidine and thiazole moieties in bacteria. The previously detected thiamin-regulatory element, thi box was extended, resulting in a new, highly conserved RNA secondary structure, the THI element, which is widely distributed in eubacteria and also occurs in some archaea. Lineage: Bacteria; Bacillati; Bacillota; Clostridia; Eubacteriales; Desulfitobacteriaceae. The record is from RNAcentral.